GACGAACGCUGGCGGCGUGCCUAAGACAUGCAAGUCGAGCGGGGCUUCGGGGCUUCGGCCCUGAAGCCUAGCGGCGGACGGGUGAGUAACACGUGGAUAACCUGCCCUCUGCUCUGGGAUAACAGGCCGAAAGGCCUGCUAAUACCGGAUAAGCUCACGGUCCCGCAUGGGGCUGGGAGAAAAGGCGCUGGAGUCAGUGGCGCUGGCAGAGGAGGGGUCCGCGGCCCAUUAGCUGGUUGGCGGGGUAACGGCCCACCAAGGCGACGAUGGGUAGCCGGCCUGAGAGGGCGACCGGCCACACUGGGACUGAGACACGGCCCAGACUCCUACGGGAGGCAGCAGUCGGGAAUUUUGCACAAUGGCCGAAAGGCUGAUGCAGCAACGCCGCGUGAGCGAAGAAGGCCUUCGGGUUGUAAAGCUCUGUUGCCUGCGAAGAAGGGCCCCGUCAGGAAAUGGGCGGGGUUUGACGGUAGCAGGCGAGGAAGCCCCGGCAAACUACGUGCCAGCAGCCGCGGUAAUACGUAGGGGGCGAGCGUUGUCCGGAAUUACUGGGCGUAAAGGGCGUGUAGGCGGCCUGUUAAGUCAGGGGUGAAAGACCGGGGCUCAACCCCGGGGGUGCCUCUGAAACUGGCGGGCUUGAGUGCUCUAGAGGGCAGUGGAAUUCCCGGUGUAGCAGUGAAAUGCGUAGAGAUCGGGAGGAACACCAGUGGCGAAGGCGGCUGCCUGGGGAGUCACUGACGCUGAGGCGCGAAAGCUAGGGGAGCAAACAGGAUUAGAUACCCUGGUAGUCCUAGCCGUAAACGAUGAGUGCUAUGUGUGAGGGGUAUCGACCCCCCUCGUGCAGGAGCUAACGCACUAAGCACUCCGCCUGGGGAGUACGGCCGCAAGGUUGA
RNAcentral lists this ribosomal RNA (893 nucleotides) under uncultured Bacillota bacterium. Its description in RNAcentral is "bacterial SSU rRNA". It matches the Rfam family "Bacterial small subunit ribosomal RNA", at positions 28 to 897 of the family's 1533-position model. Lineage: Bacteria; Bacillati; Bacillota. The record is from RNAcentral.